RNAcentral lists this ribosomal RNA (265 nucleotides) under uncultured archaeon. RNAcentral's name for it is "partial 16S ribosomal RNA". It matches the Rfam family "Archaeal small subunit ribosomal RNA", at positions 714 to 982 of the family's 1478-position model. The record is from RNAcentral.
AGACGUCUACAUUAGAUACCCCUGUAGUCCCAGCCGUAAACGAUGCGCGUUAGGUGUAUCGACGACCACGAGUCGUCGAGGUGCCGAAGGGAAACCGUGAAACGUGCCGCCUGGGAAGUACGGUCGCAAGGCUGAAACUUAAAGGAAUUGGCGGGGGAGCGCAACAACGGGUGGAGCCUGCGGUUUAAUUGGACUCAACGCCGGACAACUCACCGGGAACGACAGCAAUAUGUAGGCCAGGCUGAAGACCUUGCCUGAAUCGCUG